RNAcentral lists this ribosomal RNA (212 nucleotides) under uncultured bacterium. RNAcentral describes it as "partial 16S ribosomal RNA". It matches the Rfam family "Bacterial small subunit ribosomal RNA", at positions 1289 to 1500 of the family's 1533-position model. The record is from RNAcentral.
CAGUUCGGAUUGUAGGCUGAAACUCGCCUACAUGAAGCUGGAGUUACUAGUAAUCGCAGAUCAGAAUGCUGCGGUGAAUGCGUUCCCGGGUCUUGUACACACCGCCCGUCACACCACGGAAGUUGGGGCGCCCGAAGCCACUUAGCUAACCCUUUGGGAAGCGAGUGUCGAAGGUGAAAUCAAUAACUGGGGUGAAGUCGUAACAAGGUACC